Non-coding RNA from Podarcis lilfordi (Lilford's wall lizard), 66 nucleotides. NCBI's taxonomy places the organism in Eukaryota, Metazoa, Chordata, Lepidosauria, Squamata, Lacertidae. The record is from the annotation of a GenBank genome assembly.
GAAGCUCAGUGGCAGAGCAGCUACUUCGCAUGCAGAAGGUCAGGGGUUCAAUUCUUCGCAUCUCCA